AGAGUUUGAUCCUGGCUCAGAGCGAACGCUGGCGGCAGACCUAACACAUGCAAGUCGAGCGCCCCGCAAGGGGAGCGGCAGACGGGAGAGUAACACGUGGGAACGUACCCUUUGGUUCGGAACAACCCAGGGAAACUUGGGCUAAUACCGGAUAAGCCCUUACGGGGAAAGAUUCAUCGCCGAAGGAUCGGCCCGCGUCUGAUUAGCUAGUUGGUGGGGUAACGGCCCACCAAGGCGACGAUCAGUAGCUGGUCUGAGAGGAUGAUCAGCCUCACUGGGACUGAGACACGGCCCAGACUCCUACGGGAGGCAGCAGUGGGGAAUAUUGGACAAUGGGCGCAAGCCUGAUCCAGCCAUGCCGCGUGGGUGAUGAAGGCCCUAGGGUUGUAAAGCCCUUUCGGCGGGGAAGAUAAUGACGGUACCCGCAGAAGAAGCCCCGGCUAACUUCGUGCCAGCAGCCGCGGUAAU
Molecule: ribosomal RNA, 468 nt
Filed under: uncultured soil bacterium
Lineage: Bacteria
Description: bacterial SSU rRNA
Rfam family: Bacterial small subunit ribosomal RNA
Source: RNAcentral